Cololabis saira (Pacific saury) is the source of this 324-nucleotide long non-coding RNA. RefSeq lists it as uncharacterized. The transcript is spliced from 3 exons. The record is from RefSeq and is a predicted model, not a curated record. Lineage: Eukaryota; Metazoa; Chordata; Actinopteri; Beloniformes; Belonidae.
AGGAACGGGCUCCAGAGAAAACCGAAGAAGAAGACAAUAAUGUUUCCAUCUGUCAAGAAGACUCUAAAAUAAAACUAAAGUUUGUGACUAAAGUCGGUGUCAACAGAGGGAGAUUUACCGGCCGUGGCAGGCAGUUGUUUGGGUGAAUGUCUGCUGGAAAUGGCGGGACAAAGUCAGCCCGUUGUUAGUGUUAUCCCUGAUGAUGAGGGGAAAGAAAAGUUCAAGAAAAGUGAAAAUGUUGAAUUUUACAGAUACGUGGACCCGGAGAACAACUAGACAACGUACUUGCCAAGAACUAACGAGACUAAUUCAGUUUAACAGAGA